RNAcentral lists this ribosomal RNA (429 nucleotides) under Pseudomonadota bacterium. RNAcentral describes it as "Proteobacteria bacterium partial 16S ribosomal RNA". It matches the Rfam family "Bacterial small subunit ribosomal RNA", at positions 355 to 776 of the family's 1533-position model. The record is from RNAcentral. Lineage: Bacteria; Pseudomonadati; Pseudomonadota.
UGGGGAAUAUUGGACAAUGGGCGAAAGCCUGAUCCAGCCAUGCCGCGUGUGUGAAGAAGGUCUUCGGAUUGUAAAGCACUUUAAGUUGGGAGGAAGGGCAGUAAGCGAAUACCUUGCUGUUUUGACGUUACCGACAGAAUAAGCACCGGCUAACUCUGUGCCAGCAGCCGCGGUAAUACAGAGGGUGCAAGCGUUAAUCGGAAUUACUGGGCGUAAAGCGCGCGUAGGUGGUUCGUUAAGUUGAAUGUGAAAGCCCCGGGCUCAACCUGGGAACUGCAUUCAAAACUGGCGAGCUAGAGUAGGGCAGAUGGUGGUGGAAUUUCCUGUGUAGCGGUGAAAUGCGUAGAUAUAGGAAGGAACACCAGUGGCGAAGGCGACCACCUGGGCUCAUACUGACACUGAGGUGCGAAAGCGUGGGGAGCAAACAGG